CUUGAACCUCUAGUUCCACCAGACACACGAGCUGCAAGAGAGAAAGAUGAUCUCUUCUGUGGAGAUCCUCGACGAAAAAUCUCAAAUUUCUUUUUCUGAAUGCCCAAAGAAGCACUCGACUUGUAACCAUGUUUGGUAUGUCUCGACGAUCUCCCAGCCAGCUUCUGUGAUUUUUGAUCAGCAACGUAAUCGGCCCUAUCCUGAUCGUUUUUAUCCUCCAUUUCUGCAAGCUCCAACCCCAUCAAAUCAUCAUUCUCCAUCUCA
This 264-nucleotide long non-coding RNA is filed under the name Brassica napus (rape). RNAcentral describes it as "long non-coding RNA (BNAP_LNC008967)". The record is from RNAcentral. Lineage: Eukaryota; Viridiplantae; Streptophyta; Magnoliopsida; Brassicales; Brassicaceae.